This 629-nucleotide ribosomal RNA is filed under the name uncultured bacterium. Its description in RNAcentral is "bacterial SSU rRNA". It matches the Rfam family "Bacterial small subunit ribosomal RNA", at positions 900 to 1528 of the family's 1533-position model. The record is from RNAcentral.
CUCAAAGAAAUUGACGGGGGGCCCGCACAAGCGGUGGAGCAUGUGGUUUAAUUGGAUGCAGCGCGCAGAACCUUACCUAGAUUUGACAUGGACCGGAAGACUGGCAGAAAUGUCGUCGCUCGCAAGAGCUGGUUCACAGGUGCUGCAUGGGCUGUCGUCAGCUCGUGUCGUGAGAUGUUGGGUUAAGUCCCGCAACGAGCGCAACCCCUAUGUUUAGCUGCCAGCAUUCAGUUGGGCACUCUAGACAGACUGCCGACGUUAAGUCGGAGGAAGGUGGGGAUGACGUCAAGUCCUCAUGGCCUUUAUAUCUAGGGCUACACACGUGCUACAAUGGUCGGUACAGAGGGAAGCAAGAGUGCGAACUGGAGCCAAUCCCAAAAAACCGAUCCAAGUUCGGAUCGAAGUCUGCAACUCGACUUCGUGAAGCUGGAAUCGCUAGUAAUCGUGGAUCAGAACGCCACGGUGAAUACGUUCCCGGGCCUUGUACACACCGCCCGUCACACCAUGAAAGUUGUGCCUACCAGAAGUCGUUGCGUUAACCGCAAGGAGACAGACGCCCAAGGUAGGAACGAUGAUUGGGGUGAAGUCGUAACAAGGUAGCCGUAGGGGAACCUGCGGCUGGAUCACCU